RNAcentral lists this ribosomal RNA (439 nucleotides) under uncultured bacterium. Its description in RNAcentral is "bacterial SSU rRNA". It matches the Rfam family "Bacterial small subunit ribosomal RNA", at positions 29 to 506 of the family's 1533-position model. The record is from RNAcentral.
ACGAAUGCUAGCGGCGUGCUUUAGGCAUGCAAGUAGAACGGGAUUUGUAGCAAUACAAGUCUAGUUGCGAACGGCUGAGUAACACGUAGGAAUCUACCUCUUGGCGGGGAAUACCCAUUCGAAAGAAUGGCUAAUACCGCAUAACAUCGCAAGAUAAAAGGGCUUAACGGCCCACCGAGAGAGGAGCCUGCGGCCCAUCAGCUAGUUGGUAGGGUAAUGGCCUACCAAGGCUACGACGGGUAGAGGGCGUGAGAGCGCGUUCCUCCAGAAUGGGACUGAGACACGGCCCAUACACCUACGGGUGGCAGCAACCGGGAAUAGUACGCAAUGGACGAAAGUCUGACGUCGCGACGCCGCGUGGAGGAUGAAGGCCUAAGGGUCGUAAACUCCUUUUGCCAAGUGGGAGACCACUUGGAGAAUAAGUAACUGCUAACUCUGU